UGAGAGUUAUUUGCGUUUUGGAGAGUAGGAAGGAACUUUAGGUAUCACUAACGAAUGUGGUGCAGCCAAUAUGAUUGUUCGUUCUUUAAUAAUUUUUUUAAAUUUAAGCUCUAGACAUGAAAAAAUUCUCGAUAAAAAAUAUUUACUUUUGAAUGAGAUCCUAUAUAACGCGAAUUCAAAAUAAUCAAAUACUAAUACAAAAAAAAAACAUUAAAAAAAAAAAAACUUUAGGUUAGAGAGUCACGG
Molecule: long non-coding RNA, 246 nt
Filed under: Solanum tuberosum (potato)
Lineage: Eukaryota; Viridiplantae; Streptophyta; Magnoliopsida; Solanales; Solanaceae
Description: long non-coding RNA (STUB_LNC005195)
Source: RNAcentral